This 646-nucleotide ribosomal RNA is filed under the name uncultured bacterium. RNAcentral describes it as "bacterial SSU rRNA". It matches the Rfam family "Bacterial small subunit ribosomal RNA", at positions 715 to 1364 of the family's 1533-position model. The record is from RNAcentral.
GCGUAGGCAGCUUACCAAGCCGAUACUGACGCUGAGGCACGAAAGCGUGGGGAUCAAACAGGAUUAGAUACCCUGGUAGUCCACGCCGUAAACGUUGAUUACUCGUUGUUGGCAAUAUAUCGUCAGCGACUGAGCGAAAGCAUUAAGUAAUCCACCUGGGGAGUACGUCAGCAAUGAUGAAACUCAAAGGAAUUGACGGGGGCCCGCACAAGCGGAGGAACAUGUGGUUUAAUUCGAUGAUACGCGAGGAACCUUACCUGGGCUUAAAUGUAGAGUGCAUAGAGUGGAAACAUUCUUUUCCUUCGGGACCCUUUACAAGGUGCUGCAUGGUUGUCGUUAGCUCGUGCCGUGAGGUGUCGGGUUAAGUCCCAUAACGAGCGCAACCCUCAUUGCCAGUUGCCAUCACAUCAUGGUGGGGACUCUGGUGAAACUGCCGGUGCAAACCGUGAGGAAGGUGAGGAUGACGUCAAAUCAGCACGGCCCUUAUGUCCAGGGCUACACACGUGUUACAAUGGCUGGUACAACAGGAAGCUACCACGCAAGUGGAUGCUAAUCCCCAAAACCAGUCUUAGUUCGGAUCGGAGUCUGCAACCCGACUCCGUGAAGCUGGAUUCGCGUAGUAAUCGCACAUCAGCCAUGGUCGGUG